RNAcentral lists this ribosomal RNA (553 nucleotides) under Malassezia slooffiae. Its description in RNAcentral is "eukaryotic LSU rRNA". It matches the Rfam family "Eukaryotic large subunit ribosomal RNA", at positions 1 to 635 of the family's 3401-position model. Lineage: Eukaryota; Fungi; Basidiomycota; Malasseziomycetes; Malasseziales; Malasseziaceae. The record is from RNAcentral.
GCGAUAUCCCUAGUACUUACAAGGAUUCCCCUAGAUACUUAACAAGGAUUCCCCUAAUACUUAACAAGGAUUCCCCUUGUACUUAACAAGGAUUCCCCUUAUACUUAGAGGGAUUCCCCUUAUACUUCACAAGGAUUGCCCUAAAACUUCCGCGUUUCGAUUAGUCUUAAAAGGAUUCCCCUUGGGAUUGCUGGGAUUCCCGGGAUAAUUACUCCGUCUAACGCUAAAUAUCGGGGAGAGACCGAUAGCGAACAAGUACCGUGAGGGAAAGAUGAAAAGCACUUUGGAAAGAGAGUUAAAAGUACGUGAAAUUGUCUAAAUGGAAGCGCUUGAAGUCAGCCAUGCGGCUGGGGACUCACCUUGGCGUCUCGCUGAGGGUAUUUCUCCAGUAGCAAGUCAGCAUUGGUUUGCGGCGCCGGAGAAGGGUCCAGGGAAGGUGGCACCCUCGGGUGUGUUAUAGCCCUGGACUGGAUACGGCGCUGCGGACCAAGGAACGCAGUGUGUCCUCGUGGGGGGUCUUUGGACACCUUCCACUUAGGAUGCUGGGCGUAAU